RNAcentral lists this long non-coding RNA (800 nucleotides) under Mus musculus (house mouse). RNAcentral describes it as "long non-coding RNA chr12:72950894-72951694". Lineage: Eukaryota; Metazoa; Chordata; Mammalia; Rodentia; Muridae. The record is from RNAcentral.
ACAGAGGGCCAGGGUUGAGUUCCCAGUCACUCAGGGUGACUCUCAACAUCUAUACCUGCUGCUCCAGGGGAUCUGACACUCUCUUCUGUCUUCCACAGGCUCCUUCAGUCAAGGACACAUACACAUAAAUAAAAAUAAAAGUUAAAAACAAAACUGUGAUGUAUGCUACUACAUGCAUAAGCCCUGAAAAUGUGAUAGACAUAAUAGGCUACAUAUUGUAUAUUACAUUUGCAUGAAGAAAAAAAAAACAAAAGACGCAAAGGAAAAAAAAAAAGAAUUUCAAGGAUUUUGGUCUAGCAAAUAAAGUAUAGAAUCCAGACAAAUGACAAACUCAUUUUACAACUGCCCUCCACACCUCUGGGAUAAUUUUGCCCUGCUUUUUCUUUCUGCUCCCAGAUGAUUUCUUUAUUUGGUAAAAAGUUUACAGUAAACUUCAAACAGAAGGGUAAUUUAGUUUUCAAGGUGAAUUGACUUAGAUGGUUUUUAUUGGCAGUUUAGAAAUAUCUUGUCAUUAUCUUAGCUUACUAUUGCUAAGUUCAUAUAUUAUUUUCAGAUUGACGUAACAUUUUUUUGAAAGCCUCACUGACAUUUCUUUCAUAUUUGAGCAGUAGGAUUUCAUCUCAUCUCCUCGCACUAUGACCCACCUGAAACCCUCUUUGCUGGGACAAUACUCACUAUAAGUUUGUGGUCAGAGACCUUAUGUGUUCCUCCCAUCACGGCUUACAUCAGCGUGUCGGGCAUUGGGGAUAUUCCGGCGAGACAUUCUGCACUGCAGCAGCUAGCCGAAGCCACAGUGAACC